CGCGUGGGAAUGUACCUAUUGGUUCGGGACAACACAGGGAAACUUGUGCUAAUACCGAAUGAGCCCGUAAGGGGAAAGAUUUAUCGCCAAUGGAUCAGCCCGCGUUCGAUUAGCUAGUUGGUGAGGUAAUGGCUCACCAAGGCGACGAUCGAUAGCUGUUCUGAGAGGAAGAUCAGCCACACUGGGACUGAGACACGGCCCAGACUCCUACGGGAGGCAGCAGUUGGGAAUCUUGGACAAUGGGGGAAACCCUGAUCCAGCCAUGCCGCGUGAGUGAUGAAGGCCUUCGGGUUGUAAAAC
RNAcentral lists this ribosomal RNA (300 nucleotides) under uncultured Alphaproteobacteria bacterium. RNAcentral describes it as "bacterial SSU rRNA". It matches the Rfam family "Bacterial small subunit ribosomal RNA", at positions 114 to 431 of the family's 1533-position model. The record is from RNAcentral. Lineage: Bacteria; Pseudomonadati; Pseudomonadota; Alphaproteobacteria.